CUUUAAAAAAAUUAGUUUCAGAGAUUGAAUUCUCUUACCUCUGCAUUGAUUAGUGCAAGCGCCAGUACCUUAAAAGUAUUAAGGUCAGAUAUCUUAAAAAUAUUUUCAAAUGUAAGUUUUAUAGGGACUCAAGUCUAGGCUUGUUACAGAAAUGCCACCUGGGACCACUGUGAGGCUAGUGAAAGUUAAAGAUUUGAGAUGGGGUCAGUUAACCAAGACGGAGAGAGUAGUUCUGAGGGCAGAAUGGAGGCCUGGAAGUUGAGGCUUGGGAAACCUCACAGUUGAGAAAUGGGAGG
Molecule: long non-coding RNA, 296 nt
Organism: Lontra canadensis (Northern American river otter)
Lineage: Eukaryota; Metazoa; Chordata; Mammalia; Carnivora; Mustelidae
Exons: 2
Source: RefSeq, a predicted model, not a curated record